This 353-nucleotide ribosomal RNA is filed under the name uncultured bacterium. RNAcentral's name for it is "bacterial SSU rRNA". It matches the Rfam family "Bacterial small subunit ribosomal RNA", at positions 28 to 369 of the family's 1533-position model. The record is from RNAcentral.
GACGAACGCUGGCGGCGUGCCUAACACAUGCAAGUCAGGGAGAAAGAGGUAGCAAUAUCUCGAGUAAACCGGCGAACGGGUGAGUAACACGUAGGUAACCUGCCCUCGAGUUGGGAAUAACUUCGAGAAAUCGAGGCUAAUACCGGAUAAUGCAACGAACUCGCAUGGGGUUUGUUGUUAAAGUUCCGCGCAAGCGGAACGCUUGAGGAUGGACCUGCGGCCGAUUAGCUAGUUGGCGGAGUAACAGCCCACCAAGGCGACGAUCGGUAGCCGACCUGAGAGGGUGACCGGCCACACUGGGACUGAGAUACGGCCCAGACUCCUACGGGAGGCAGCAGUGAGGAAUCUUGCGC